This 396-nucleotide ribosomal RNA is filed under the name uncultured bacterium. Its description in RNAcentral is "bacterial SSU rRNA". It matches the Rfam family "Bacterial small subunit ribosomal RNA", at positions 28 to 424 of the family's 1533-position model. The record is from RNAcentral.
GAUGAACGCUAGCGGCAGGCUUAACACAUGCAAGUCGAGGGGUAUAGUUCUUCGGAACUAGAGACCGGCGCACGGGUGCGUAACGCGUAUGCAAUCUACCUUUUGCAGAGGGAUAGCCCAGAGAAAUUUGGAUUAAUACCUCAUAGUAUGUGAGAAUGGCAUCAUUUUCACAUUAAAGUCACAACGGCAAAAGAUGAGCAUGCGUCCCAUUAGCUAGAUGGUAAGGUAACGGCUUACCAUGGCGACGAUGGGUAGGGGUCCUGAGAGGGAGAUCCCCCACACUGGUACUGAGACACGGGACCAGACUCCUACGGGAGGCAGCAGUGAGGAAUAUUGGACAAUGGGACGCAAGCCUGAUCCAGCCAUGCCGCGUGCAGGAUGACGGUCCUAUGGAUU